Long non-coding RNA from Oreochromis aureus, 2881 nucleotides. The record is from Ensembl. Lineage: Eukaryota; Metazoa; Chordata; Actinopteri; Cichliformes; Cichlidae.
CUUUCGUUUUCCACCCACAUACAGGCCUCCACCACUGCUGCUUUCUGUGUCAUCAGAAAGCAGCAGUGGUGCUUCAAGUCUUAGUAUAGAAAAAAAAUGCCCCUCCCCCCUCCCGAAAAACAAAAACAAAACAAAAACAAAAACAAGGGUUCAGAUCCUUUCCCGAGACAUGUUGGAUUUUAAACCAUCCUAAAACACACAUGACAGUCAAACCGCUUUGGGUCAAAGGAAAAAACGUUCUUCUCCACUCCAUACGGGUUGUACCAAUUUGUCACACUUCUGCUCUGCUUCUUCGGAGCUCCGGCCACUUUCCAGUGCCUCAUGGACCAGUUCCACAAGCUGCAUAUGCUGUCGCCUAUUUGGAUGACGUCAUCAUCCACAGUGCCACCUGAAAGGAGCAAGUGCAGUGGAUGGCCGUGGUCCUGGAGUCCCUGAGGCAGGCAGGGCUUCACGGCCAACCCAAAGAAGUGUGCGGCUGAAUGGAGGGAGGUACAGUAUUUGCAGUACCACUUGGGAGGUUGCAUGUGCACCCCCAGAUGGAUCAAAGAGCAGCCAUUGCAUCCUGCCCAUGUCCCAAGACCAAAAAAAAGGUGAGACAGUUCUUGGGGCUGGUGGGUUACUACCGCCGGUCCGUACCUAGCUUUGCAGAGCUGACCAGCCCUUUGACUAAUUUCACCAAAAAGGGUGCCCCAGAUCUGGUCCGGUGGACAGAACAGUGCCAGGUGGCAUUCGUGCAGGUGAGGAAGUCUCUCUGUGAUGAACCUUUGCUCUAAACUUUUCCCUCCCUUUUAUUCUGCAGACUGACGCCUUGAACAGAAGGCUGGAGGUAGUUUUUUCCCAGCAGGUAAGGGGGGGGGUUGACCGCCCAAUUGUGUACAUCAGCAGGAAACUGUGUGAGUGGGAGGCCAGGUGGUACGGUGGAGAAGGAGUGCCUGGCCAUCCGGUGGGCGGUAGACUCUCUUCGUUAUUACCUCCUGGGCCACCCCUGUUUAAGUUAUUCAGAUUUUCUUAAGUACCAUCAGUAAUGUUUCUAAACAACAUUAACACUGAAUAAGACCCUAAAGCACAGUAAAUUUAUUGUAUAAUUUGCCCCUGUUGGAGGAAGAUGGGGCUACUCUUAUCCAGGCUGAACUGAAGAAGCAGCAGAGUUCUUCUUCCAAAAAACCUGAAGUGCUUUUUCUUCAUUUUCAGGUGAAACGCUGCCUGAGGGAAGCAAAGGACACCUACAGGAGGAAGGUGGAGCAGAAGUUGGAGAGGAACAAUAUGAGGGAGGUCUGGAAUGGUGUGAAAACCAUCACGGGCCACAACACCAAGAACAGCACAGUGGGGGGGACUGUGGAGAAGGCAAACGAACUCAACAACUUCUUCAACAGGUUUGACCAGCCCACAACCCCCCCACCCUCACCCUCACAUCCACCGUUACUACAGAGCCCUCUCUCUACUCUCCUACCUCCCUCGCUUCCCCCCCUUCCUGACACUAUGACACCCCCCUCCUCCAACCCCUCUCUCAACAGCAGGACCCCCCCCCCUUCCAAUCAUCUCCCAGUGUCACAGUGGAUUAGGUCAGAAGACAAGUGAGGAAGGCAGCAGGCCCAAACAAGGUGUGUCCUAGGAUGCUAAAGGCGUGUGCUGCUGAACUUGGGGAGCCGCUACAACGAGUCUUCAAUCUCAGUCUGCGACUGGGGAGAGUGCCCGCCCUAUGGAAGACAUCCUGCAUCGUCCCGAUCCCCAAAAGGAACCGGCCCAAUGAGCUGAAUGACUUCCGACCGGUGGCACUGACGUCACAUCUUAUGAAGACUCUAGAGCGGCUCUUCCUCAACCUCCUCCGACCACAGUGCCUUUAAUACCAUCCGGCCCUGUCUGCUCCAGGAAAAACUAAACAGGAUGCAGGUGGACCCCUGCCUGGUCACUUGGAUCUCCGACUACCUCACUGACAGACCACAGUACGUCAGGCUGAAGGACAUCAUGUCUGACACUGUGGUCAGCAGCACGGGAACACCACAGUGAACUGUGCUGUCCCCUCUUCUCUUCACCCUGUACACCUCUGACUUCUGAAUUAUGCCAUAUUCAGAAGUUUGCAGAUGACACAGCCAUCAUGGGGUGUAUCUGGGAUAAUCAGGAAGAGGAGUACAGAAGUCUGGUGAGGAACUUCGUCACAUGGAGUCACACAAACCACCUGCAACUCAACACCUCAAAGACCAAGGAACUGGUUGUGGACUUCGGGAGGUCCAGAGCAGGUCCACUGCCGGUUCAGAUAGAGGGAGAGGAGGUGGAAGUGGUCAACAAGUACAAGUACCUCGGGCUGUGGGUGGACAACAAACUGGACUGGUCAUGCAACACAGAGCACCUGUAUAAAAAAGCCCAAAGCUGACUGUAUUUCCUCAGGAGGCUGAGGUCUUUUAACAUCUGCAGGAAGUUCCUGAGGAUGUUUUACCAGUCGGUGGUUGCUGGAGUACUUUUCUAUGCUGUGGUGUGCUGGGUGAGCAGCACAGCAAAGAAGGACUCAUCCAGGCUGGAAAAACUGAUCAGGAAGGCUGGCUCUGUGGUCGGCAUGAAGCUGGACACUCUGGUGACAGUGGCAGAGAAAAGGACACUAAAGAAAUUGCUGGACAUUAUGGACAAUGCUGGGCAUCCUCUGCACACGGCCAUAAACAACCAGAGGAAUCUGUUCAGUGACAGGUUGCUUCUCCCAAAGACAAGAACCAACAGACUUAAAAACUCCUUUGUCCCACACGCCAUCAGACUGUUUAACUCCUCUCUGGAGGGGAGAGGGAGGGGAAACAGGAGGACAAAGGAGGGGGGGACAACUAAGCUGCAGUGCCUUUUCACUGUGCAAUACUUUUUGCUAAUAUUCAACGGUGCAAUAGACUUCAAUAAUUGA